Cavia porcellus (domestic guinea pig) is the source of this 71-nucleotide transfer RNA. It matches the Rfam family "tRNA". Rfam says of the family: Transfer RNA (tRNA) molecules are approximately 80 nucleotides in length. Their secondary structure includes four short double-helical elements and three loops (D, anti-codon, and T loops). The record is from Rfam. Lineage: Eukaryota; Metazoa; Chordata; Mammalia; Rodentia; Caviidae.
GGGGAUUUAGCUCAGCGGCAUAAGCGCCUGCCUUGCAAGCAGGCUGUCCUGAGUUCGAUCUCCGGUACCCA